This 479-nucleotide ribosomal RNA is filed under the name Bacteroidetes bacterium oral taxon 365. RNAcentral describes it as "bacterial SSU rRNA". It matches the Rfam family "Bacterial small subunit ribosomal RNA", at positions 28 to 504 of the family's 1533-position model. The record is from RNAcentral. Lineage: Bacteria; Pseudomonadati; Bacteroidota.
GAUGAACGCUAGCGGCAGGCUAACACAUGCAGUCGAGGGGCAACGAGAUGGUGCAAUCCAUUGUCGGCGACCGGCGAACGGGUGCGUAACGCGUGAACAACUUGCCGGACACAGGGGGAUAAUCGUCGGAAACGUCGUCUAAUAUCCCAUAACAUUGACAUGGGCAUCCAUGUUGAUUGAAAGCAAUUAUGCGGUGUCUGAUAGGUUCGCGUGACAUUAGCUAGUCGGUGGGGCAACGGCCCACCGAGGCGACGAUGUCUAGGGGUUCUGAGAGGAAGGCCCCCCACACUGGGACUGAGACACGGCCCAGACUCCUACGGGAGGCAGCAGUGAGGGAUAUUGGACAAUGGGCGGAAGCCUGAUCCAGCCAUCCGCGUGAAGGACUAAGGCCCUAUGGGUCGUAAACUUCUUUUGACGCAGAGCAAUAAGGGACACGUGUGUUUCCGAUGAGAGUAUGCGUCGAAUAGUCGGCUAACUCC